This 800-nucleotide ribosomal RNA is filed under the name uncultured bacterium. RNAcentral describes it as "bacterial SSU rRNA". It matches the Rfam family "Bacterial small subunit ribosomal RNA", at positions 578 to 1397 of the family's 1533-position model. The record is from RNAcentral.
GCUUGUUAAGCCAGGUGUCAAUCCAGAGGCUCAACCUCUGUCCGCACUUGGAACUGGCAGGCUUGAGUCUGGUAGAGGAAAUGGAAUUCCCAGUGUAGCGGUGAAAUGCGCAGAUAUUGGGAAGAACACCAGUGGCGAAGCGGUCUUUCUGGGCCACGACUGACGCUGAGGCGCGAGAGCUGGGGGAGCAAACAGGAUUAAUACCCUGGUAGUCCCAGCCGUAAACGAUGGACACUAGGUGUGGGGAGUUGAAAUCCUCCUGCCGCAGCCAACGCAUUAAGUGUCCCGCCUGGGGAGUACGGUCGCAAGACUAAAACUCAAGGAAUUGACGGGGGCCCGCACAAGCAGCGGAGCAUGUGGCUUAAUUCGAAGCAACGCGAGAACCUUACCAGGGCUUGACAUACAGGUGAAGCGGCGGAAACGCCGUGGCCGAGAGGAGCUGAACAGGUGGUGCAUGGCUGUCGUCAGCUCGUAUCGUGAGAUGUUGGGUUAAGUCCCGCACGAGCGCAACCCUCAUCGUAUGUUGCCAGCAUCAAGUUGGGGACUCAUACGAGACUGCCGCGUUAAGCCGGAGGAAGGUGGGGAUGACGUCAAGUCAUCAUGCCCCUUAUGCCCUGGGCGCACACGUGCUACAAUGACCGGUACAAAGGGCUGCCAACCCGCGAGGGCGAGCGAAUCCCUAAAGCCGGUCCCAGUUCGGAUCGGAGGCUGCAACCCGCCUCCGUGAAGUCGGAGUUGCUGUAAUCGCGGAUCAGCAUGCCGCGGUGAAUACGUUCCCGGGCCUUGCACACACCGCCCGU